AGUUUGAUCCUGGCUCAGGACGAAACGCCUGGCGGCGUGCUUAACACAUGCAAGUCAAGGGGAACGGUUGACUUCGGUUGACCUAGUAUACUGGCGAACGGGUGAGUAACGCGUAGGUAACCUGCCUAUGAGUUUGGGAUAACAUUGCUAACGCGGUGCUAAUACCGGAUAACGCAUCAUUUUUGCAUAUAGAUGAUGUUAAAGCGGGCUUUCGGGCUCGUGCUUAUAGAUGGACCUGCGUCCCAUUAGUUAGUUGGCGGGGUAACGGCCCACCAAGGCGACGAUGGGUAGCCGACCUGAGAGGGUGAUCGGCCACACUGGGACUGAGAUACGGCCCAGACUCCUACGGGAGGCAGCAGUGAGGAAUAUUGCGCAAUGGAGGAAACUCUGACGCAGCAACGCCGCGUGCGGGAUGACGCUUUUAGGAGUGUAAACCGCUGUUAGAAGGGACGAAUAAGAUAGUUUCGAACAGGGACUAUCGAUGACGGUACCUUCAGAGAAAGCCCCGGCUAACUCCGUGCCAGCAGCCGCGGUAAUACGGAGGGGGCGAGCGUUGUCCGGAUUUAUUGGGCGUAAAGGGCGCGCAGGCGGGCUAAUCAGUCUGUGGUGAAAGUUUGCGGCUUAACCGUAAAAUUGCCUUGGAUACUGUUAGUCUUGAGUUCGGAAGAGGAGAGUGGAAUUCCUGGUGUAGCGGUGAAAUGCGUAGAUAUCAGGAAGAACACCGGUGGCGAAGGCGGCUCUCUGGUCCGAAACUGAUGCUGAGGCGCGAAAGUGUGGGUAGCGAACAGGAUUAGAUACCCUGGUAGUCCACACAGUAAACGAUGGAUACUAGGUGUUGGAUGGUAAC
This 847-nucleotide ribosomal RNA is filed under the name uncultured bacterium. RNAcentral's name for it is "bacterial SSU rRNA". It matches the Rfam family "Bacterial small subunit ribosomal RNA", at positions 10 to 834 of the family's 1533-position model. The record is from RNAcentral.